UACGUAGGGGGCGAGCGUUUGUCCGGAUUUAUUGGGCGUAAAGAGCGUGUAGGCGGCCAGGUAGGUCAGCUGUGAAAACUCGAGGCUCAACCUCGAGAUGUCGGCUGAAACCAUCUGGCUAGAGUCCGGAAGAGGAGAAUGGAAUUCCCGGUGUAGCGGUGAAAUGCGCAGAUAUCGGGAAGAACACCCGUGGCGAAGGCGGUUCUCUGGGACGGUACUGACGCUGAGACGCGAAAGCGUGGGGAGCGAACAGG
Molecule: ribosomal RNA, 254 nt
Filed under: uncultured bacterium
Lineage: Bacteria
Description: partial 16S ribosomal RNA
Rfam family: Bacterial small subunit ribosomal RNA
Source: RNAcentral